Molecule: small RNA, 755 nt
Filed under: Pan troglodytes (chimpanzee)
Lineage: Eukaryota; Metazoa; Chordata; Mammalia; Primates; Hominidae
Description: retained intron
Source: RNAcentral
AAAAAAAAAAAAGAAAUAAAAAAAUAAAGUAAGGGCAAUGGCCUUUUUACUGUUUGGAUUAUAACAAAUUAUUGCCUUUUGUUUGCACAGUUGAGGCUUUCAGUGAGCUUAAAUGAAAAAUUCCGUCUUUUGGCUGUGUAAGUUUUUGCCUGCAUAUGCAAAGGCUUCAUAAAAUAAUCUCUGUGACUAAAAUUUCAUUUCAUCUGUUCUCAGUCAUCCCUUAACCCAGCGCUAUAUUACCUUAUGCCUCCAAUUCAGUGGUAGCCCUCUACGGAAUAGAAUUCCACUCCAACCCCUCAUUCAUGAUGCACUAAAUGAGAAUGUAAGAAUGAUGCUACUGUGUGAAGUAGGAGACACUUUCUCAAACAGUAUCCCUUUUUUUGAUGUCUGUCAACCAGAUAUCUAUGUUUUCAAACAGUAGUGUUUUUAAGCUGUAAAUGAACCGUAGUACUGCUUUUGUAGAACUAAAAUUGUAUAAUUGUUACAUCAUCUUAAUUUUGCAGCUGACAGAACAAGAAGUAGAAACAAUAUUGGAUAAAGCAAUGGUCCUUUUUAGGUUUAUGCAAGAAAAAGAUGUAUUUGAACGUUAUUAUAAACAACACUUGGCAAGGAGACUUCUCACAAAUAAAAGUGUUUCUGAUGACUCUGAAAAAAACAUGAUAUCUAAGUUAAAGACUGAAUGUGGAUGUCAGUUCACGUCAAAACUGGAAGGAAUGUUUAGGGAUAUGAGCAUCUCAAACACAACGAUGGAUGAA